GGUGCCAUGGCUUAGCUGGUUAAAGUACCUUUUUAGUAAACAGAAGAUCCUGUGUUCAAGUCCCAGUGGUACCU
This 74-nucleotide transfer RNA is filed under the name Alligator mississippiensis (American alligator). It matches the Rfam family "tRNA". Rfam says of the family: Transfer RNA (tRNA) molecules are approximately 80 nucleotides in length. Their secondary structure includes four short double-helical elements and three loops (D, anti-codon, and T loops). Further hydrogen bonds mediate the characteristic L-shaped molecular structure. tRNAs have two regions of fundamental functional importance: the anti-codon, which is responsible for specific mRNA codon recognition, and the 3' end, to which the tRNAs corresponding amino acid is attached (by aminoacyl-tRNA synthetases). tRNAs cope with the degeneracy of the genetic code in two manners: having more than one tRNA (with a specific anti-codon) for a particular amino acid; and 'wobble' base-pairing, i.e. permitting non-standard base-pairing at the 3rd anti-codon position. The record is from Rfam by way of RNAcentral. Lineage: Eukaryota; Metazoa; Chordata; Crocodylia; Alligatoridae.